AAUAACUAUCGUCUGCAAAUAACAUUUUGUUGCAAUGGUAUUCCAACUCUUUGUUUGUUUUCAUUUGCUCUGCAACAUCACAUCAUUUGCAAAAGAAUGUAAAAUCGGAUAUAUCGGAAGUAACUGCUCGAGUCCAUGCAGAUAUCCAAGUUAUGGAAAAGGUUGUCAAUUUGAAUGUUCGAAUUGCUCGAAGGAAAUGUGUGAUGCAAGAUUUGGCUGUUUGAUUCCUGAUGAAUCAAUAGACAAAGAUAAUACUACACUGAGCGAGGAUUCAAUUCAACUGAUUUAUGUGACUAUAGGAUUGAUUUCAUCCGGGUUUUUCAUUUUAUUUACUUCUGUUGCCUGUAUGUUUCUAAUUAGAGGUCGAUCGGCCAGACAUGAGAGAUCGCGGUACUAACCUGUAGAAAUAUCGUGUGAAAACUGUAUCUUUUCCGCCCAAUGGAAACAAUCUAAUAAUUUUGUAUCUAUUCGAUCUAUCUAGGAAUAAAACUGCAUAAAAAGACUG
This is a long non-coding RNA of Magallana angulata, 505 nucleotides long. RefSeq lists it as uncharacterized. Lineage: Eukaryota; Metazoa; Mollusca; Bivalvia; Ostreida; Ostreidae. The record is from RefSeq and is a predicted model, not a curated record. The transcript is spliced from 3 exons.